CAGUAGUAACUACUUCACAGGAAGGAUGCCUGAGUUUGGCAAUUUGAAACAGCUUCAGAAGUUAGAGGUGGAAGCAAGUGGUUUCGAUGGGCCAAUUCCUUCUAGUAUAUCUAACUUGAACAAGCUAGUAGAAUUAAGGAUUACUGACUUAAAUGGGGAGAUGAGCUCAGAUUUUCCGAACUUGAUGAACAUGACAAACAUACAAAGAUUG
Long non-coding RNA from Humulus lupulus (European hop), 211 nucleotides. RefSeq lists it as uncharacterized. The transcript has 3 exons. Lineage: Eukaryota; Viridiplantae; Streptophyta; Magnoliopsida; Rosales; Cannabaceae. The record is from RefSeq and is a predicted model, not a curated record.